GAGUUUGUGAAGCUCUUGGGUUAUUGACUUCUAAUCCGUUUGUCGCAGGUUCGAGUCCUGCCAGGCGCGCCA
RNAcentral lists this transfer RNA (72 nucleotides) under Desulfobacca acetoxidans DSM 11109. RNAcentral's name for it is "tRNA-Ser". Lineage: Bacteria; Pseudomonadati; Thermodesulfobacteriota; Desulfobaccia; Desulfobaccales; Desulfobaccaceae. The record is from RNAcentral.